ACGAACGCUGGCGGCAGGCCUAACACAUGCAAGUCGAACGCCCCGCAAGGGGAGUGGCAGACGGGUGAGUAACGCGUGGGAACAUACCCUUCGGUUUGGAAUAACUCAGGGAAACUUGAGCUAACACCAGAUACGCCCCCGCGCAAUCGGGGGGAAAGAUUUAUCGCCGAAGGAUUGGCCCGCGUCCGAUUAGCUAGUUGGUGAGGUAAUGGCUCACCAAGGCGACGAUCGGUAGCUGGUCUGAGAGGAUGAUCAGCCACAUUGGGACUGAGACACGGCCCAAACUCCUACGGGAGGCAGCAGGUGGGGAAUAUUGGACAAUGGGCGAAAGCCUGAUCCAGCCAUGCCGCGUGAGUGAUGAAGGCCCUAGGGUUGUAAAGCUCUUUCAUCAGGGACGAUAAUGACGGUACC
This 411-nucleotide ribosomal RNA is filed under the name uncultured bacterium. RNAcentral describes it as "bacterial SSU rRNA". It matches the Rfam family "Bacterial small subunit ribosomal RNA", at positions 29 to 479 of the family's 1533-position model. The record is from RNAcentral.